Molecule: long non-coding RNA, 1585 nt
Filed under: Homo sapiens (human)
Lineage: Eukaryota; Metazoa; Chordata; Mammalia; Primates; Hominidae
Description: HSALNT0319242
Source: RNAcentral
CCAGAUCAAGUGAGUGUCGGAGGUUGUGAGUUGCCCUGCCAUGGGAUGGCCUCCUGUCCAGCCCCGGUUCCCACCGUGUGUGCCCUACCCUCCCGGGACCAGCUUCAACCACCUGCAACUCAGAGCUGGAAUAAUAAGAACGGAGGCAAUCAUACUUCCACUCAUCUCCCAUGCAGACAGUUCAGAAUGAAUGAGAAGGACAUGCAAAUGGGAAGAAGAAAGAGAGCCCACGGUUGUUGAGCCUACAGGACAUUCUCAAACACUGAGAAUAGGAAGACUGACAAAGAUCAUUUAGGAAAUUUGCCUGGGAUCUUCUUGUGGGCCUACAUACUCCCCAUUGUCACUGCAAUAGAGCCAGGAUCCAGCCCAGUGCCUGGUCAGAAGAAGCUCCAUUAGUGCUUAAGAACUGUAUUCAAUUGGAACUUUCAACCAAUUCAAUAUGGUCACAACGGGUUGGCUCCUAGUAAGCUGCUCAGUAAGUGUUUCUUCAGGUGACGUUGGCAAAUGAAAGGCAGUAAGGCCCAGUGAUUUCAGAUCCAGACUGUGGUACUCAGAACCAUAUAAUCCUGGGGUCAAAUCUCAGCCUUGCUUGCUUCUUUCUGCGUGCCCUGAGCCUCUCCCCUGUAGAGAACCUAUUUCACAUUGUUGCUAUGAAAAUGACAUGAGAUCAUGAAUGUGAAAUUUAUCAUAGUAUUGCUCAUACUACUACCUUGGGCUGGGAACUAUUCCUGGGCUUUCUCAUUUAAUCCUCUUGCAAUUCAAAGAGGAAGGCGCUCUUAACUGCCCCACUUCUUACAGAUUAAGAAGUUGAGGAACAAGGGCUGGAGCGGUGUCUCCAAGGUCACGAAGCUAGUAAGAGUGGGUAUAGAUCGCAGAUGCAGUGGCUGGUCUUAACCGUUAAGGGAGAGCUACGAAGUCCCACGUGUGGACAGUAAGUACUCAGUAAAAGUACACUGUUACUGUUACUGCUGCUGCCAUUGUGCUGGACAGCCGGGGAAAGUGAGGGGCAGAGAACUUGAGUCCCCAUAGCUACUCCAUAACAGAGCCAGAACCACGGGUGGCUCCAACAUUCAGAUCUGGGGUACCAAGCCUUGUUGCUUGUUUCUUAACUGCUUUCUCCAAGGCCUGCCCUGGGCAGCCACACCCAGAGUUCUCACGACACCCUGGAGCUCUUGCCACCCAGAAGUUCUUGCCACACCCUGCCUGCUCCCGGAAGGUAACAGGGCCACUGAAGAAGGGCUGCAUUGUUGUGGCCUUAGCCUUGGCCCUGAAGGCCAGGAGGACAAACACUUUGGCUUGUAAGUACUGCAAAUCAAUAAACAGUAAAACUCAGAAUAAAUGCCCUCUUGAACUUCAACUGACCUCAACUCCAAGCUGGCUGGUCCUGAGGACAAAUACCCAGGAACGUGAUUCCAGGAGAGAAUACUUCUGCAUGGCAUCCAGUUGCUACCUGGCAGGAGGGUGUUUGCCUUUGAGAGAGGUGGGGGCAGGGGUAUCAAAUUCUCCUGGGGAAGACAGGAAGUUUGCCAGCGCCACCCAGAGCAGAAAAAAAGUGUGGCAGUAUCAAUAAAGAUGACAAUAGCAA